Non-coding RNA from Biomphalaria pfeifferi, 230 nucleotides. The record is from the annotation of a GenBank genome assembly. Lineage: Eukaryota; Metazoa; Mollusca; Gastropoda; Planorbidae.
AUUGUGAUUCCUAAAGAGUUGUUUGUGAUACAUAAAGAAUUGAUUAUGAUUCAUAAAUAGUAGAUUGUAAUUCAAAAAGAGUUGUUUGUGAUUCAUAAAGAGUUGUUUGUGAUACAUAAAUAGUUGAUUGUGAUACCUAGGCUAAAGAGUUGAUUGUGAUUCAUAAAGCGUUGAUUUUGAUACAUAAAGAGUUGAUUGUGAUUCAUAAAUAGUUGAUUUUGUUACAUAAA